Molecule: ribosomal RNA, 439 nt
Filed under: uncultured bacterium
Lineage: Bacteria
Description: partial 16S ribosomal RNA
Rfam family: Bacterial small subunit ribosomal RNA
Source: RNAcentral
CCUACGGGAGGCAGCAGUGGGGAAUAUUGCACAAUGGGCGAAAGCCUGAUGCAGCAACGCCGCGUGAGCGAUGAAGGCCUUCUGGUCGUAAAGCUCUGUCCUCAAGGAAGAUAAUUACGGUACUUGAGGAUGACUCCCCGGCUACCUCCGUUCCAGCAGCCGCGGUACUACGUCGGGGGCUAGCGUUAUCCGGAAUUCCUGGGCGUAAGGGGUGCGUAGGUGGUUUCUUAAGUCAGAGGGGAAAGGCUACGGCUAAACCGUAGUAAGCCGUUGAAACUGGGGAACUUGAGUGCAGGAGAGGAGAGUGGAAUUCCUAGUGUAGCGGUGAAAUGCGUAGAUAUUAGGAGGAACACCAGUUGCGAAGGCGGCUCUCUGGACUGUAACUGACACUGAGGCACGAAAGCGUGGGGAGCAAACAGGAUUAGAUACCCUUGUAGUC